This is a long non-coding RNA of Ictalurus punctatus (channel catfish), 1491 nucleotides long. The record is from Ensembl. NCBI's taxonomy places the organism in Eukaryota, Metazoa, Chordata, Actinopteri, Siluriformes, Ictaluridae.
UAACAGUGUUUUCGAUUGUCUUAAUUCCUCUCAGAGAAAAGCAAAGACACACAGGAAACUUUCUAUACACAGAAACCACAUGAAGAAGAAGUGGAGAAUAGUGGUGCUGUGAGUGUGUGUGAAAGAGUGCUAAUGUGUGUGGGUGUGAAGUGUGCAGUUAUUGUUUUAAUGUGUUGAUGUUCUAAGCUGGCGUAGCUGCAGCUGACCGCAGCCUGAUUCAAUAAACUGCUUAUGCGAGAAACUCUCUUCUGUGUCAAUGUGGGGAAAAACAUUACAAUGUCAUGUACAUAUUACAUAAUGCAGAUUUUGGGAAUUUAUUUCUGGAAAACUAAAGCCAAGCUGGCUUAUUUAUCUUAUUAAAAACCUGACUAGAAAACUUCUUCCCUUACAUACAAAUCACUGCAUUUCACAUGUGAUCAUCUGAUUAAUUUUAGUCAAGCUUUCUGUGAAUAGUUUUGUUCUUAGGUAAAGGAGCAGAUCUAGAGGAUCACAGGUAGAGACUGUUGCGGUGAACUGGGAUGUUUGGAUGCUGUCACCCCCCACCCCCACCUUUCACACCUUCACCCAGUGAUCCUGACCCCUUCUGCUCUCCGGACCUGCCUGAUCCGUCCUGAUGCUCUUCUUCUGGUUGGAGUUCUCAUCAGUUGGAGUCACAUGCUGCUGCUGAGGAUGUCCCACAUGGUGCAGUAUAAAGAUCACUGAGAUUACUGAGGACGGUUCCACUUAAACACCAUAAAGAUGCUCUGGACCUCAGUUCAUAUGAACAGUUAUGCUAUGAUAGCUUUAGCACUUCAAUUACCACAAACAGUUCUGCACUCGAGUCUCCAUCAGUGAACAGUGGAGAAGUUCAACACAACAGACUUGAGGACAGCUUCCUUUUGAGUCCGGUUCCUCUCGAGGUUUCUUCCUCAUAUCGUCUCAGGGAGUUUUUCCUCACCACCGUCACCUCUCGCUGUUCAUUAGAGAUAAAUUCAUACAUUUAACAUCUAUAUCCUGAGUGUAUAUAUUUCUGUAACGCUGCUCUGGGACAAUGUCCACUGUUAAACACACUACACAAAUAACACUGAACUGAACUCUCCAUUUGUAAACAAUCCUUCUCACUGUAGAAUGGUGAAUUUCAAAUAGCUUGGAGAUGGCCUUAUAACCCUUCCUAGAUUAACGAGUAGCAAUAAUUGCUUCUCUGAGGUCAUGGCUGAUGUCCUUUCCUCUUGGCAUGAUUUAGAAACACACCUGAGAGCUCCAGGAAAACCAAACUGCCAAAUCUGCUUUUAUAAAUAUGCUCACUCUUCUUGAUGAUUGACUAAUCUUGUGCAUUUCACUGGAAACAUCUGGCUACUAAUAACUCUCUUAAUUUUAUGGACAUAGGAAGGGUAUACUUAUUUUUUCCCACCUGGUUUCAGAAUGUUGGUUUCUAUUUGACUAAAUGGAAAAUGACUACAUGUUGAAAUUUGUUUUGUUUUUUGCUUGUUGAUUGAAGUUGGUGAGGACCGC